Molecule: ribosomal RNA, 444 nt
Filed under: uncultured bacterium
Lineage: Bacteria
Description: partial 16S ribosomal RNA
Rfam family: Bacterial small subunit ribosomal RNA
Source: RNAcentral
CCUACGGGAGGCAGCAGUAGGGAAUUUUGCGCAAUGGGGGAAACUCUGACGCAGCAAUGCCGCGUGAUUGAAGCAGGUCUUCGGGUGGUAAGAUUCUUUAGUCAGGGCAGAAUAAAAUGACGGUCCCUGAAGAAUAAGCUGCGACUAACUACGUGCCAGCAGCCGCAGUAAUACGUGGGGAGCCAGCGUUGUUCGGCAUGGCUGGGCGGAAAGGGUGCGGAGGCGGGUAUACAAGUUAGAAAUUAAAUAACCAGGGCUUAACUCGGGUGCUGCUUCUAAAACUGGAAGACUUGAGUGCAGUAGAGGUUAGUGGAAUUCCUGGUGUAGCGGUGGAAUGCGUAGAUAUCAGGAGGAACAUCAGAGGCGAAGGCGGUUAACUGGACCGCAAUUGACGCUGAGGAACGAAAGCGUGGGGAGCAAAUGGGAUUAGAUACCCGUGUAGUC